UUUUGCAUCCUCCGGUCAUUUCCUUCUGUUGAAUCCAUCUCUGCAGAUCCCCAGGUCCCCAACGAACUAAUUGUUGGAGCGUUAGUUGGUGGAGUUGUUCUCUCUGCUUUUCUUCAGGUGGCUUUUGACAGGCUGGCUCUUGCAAUGUUCUGGACUUCUUCAAGAAACAGAAAUUGAACCAGACGUUGCUGAAUAAGUUAAAAAUCGUGCUGUUAUCCAUCGACGCUGUAGUUGAUGAUACAGAGCAAAAGCAGAUUUCUAGUCCAAAGGUAAAGGCCUGGAUUGAUAUGGACAAAGAUGCCGUGUUUGAUGCUGAAGAUGUCUUGGAUGAGAUUGACCAUGAAGCGUUCAAGCGCCUGGUGGAAGCUGAAAUUGAGAGUAAAACCAGUGCUAUCGGCAAGACGACGUGUGGAAUGAAAAUUAUAUGCUAUGGGAGGCCUUGCAAUCACCUUUCAAUCAUGGGGCUCCAGGAAGUAAAAUUCUACUAACCACCUGUGGCAGAAAGGUUGUUUCAACCAUGCGUUCUGCUAAAACACUUUCAUUGAAGCCCUUACCAGAAGGAGAUAGCUGGUCGUUAUUCAGUAGGCUCUCAUUCUGUUACUCAACAUAAGUGACUCUUCUGAUAUACCCCUCAUAUUGUUCAAAUGGAAAGGAAGGCUCUUUAUUGUCCACUGAACAUAAGAGUCUCCGCUGAUGUAAACCUCAUUUUGGAAACAUUGAGAUACAACACUGUUUGUCUUUUGUCAUUGUCCAUUGAAUUCAUGGGACUUCAAUGCUGUCUAAGGAAGUAUCGGGGGAAGUAUGCUGGUGCACCUCAAUAGACUUACACGUGAAAGGAAUAAGAGGAAAUCACUCAACUUAGAGCCAGAGAAGGGGCAAAAUAGAGUCGAGUCAGGCCUAAUGUACUCAAGAGGAAACGAAAGUUCUGCUUCAAGUGAGAAAGAUGCAAAUGGUAGAAGACAGUGUCAAGCACCAUUAAUGCUCUGAAAUUAUGGAGCUUUCCAACUGCUCAAAAUUCAUUAAUAAAUACAACUCCCACGAAGCAUUGAUUACCAAGAAGACUAUGUGCUUUUAAAGCUGCUCUGAUAUAUCUUCACAUUCUCUGCGUUUCUAUUAGCGUUGUAUCAUAGACUCCUUUGAAAGUUGAAUCUUUGAAGAGAUGUUGUGAGCAUCAUUUCCUUAGGUUUGCCUUUACAUAACGCUGCAAAGGCCUUGGUGCAUGGUUUGCAAAAGUUUUGAUAAGCUUUAUCAGAGUUAGGGGAAAUAGAGACUCGAUUGCCUUCUUGUACU
Molecule: RNA transcript, 1290 nt
Organism: Prosopis cineraria
Lineage: Eukaryota; Viridiplantae; Streptophyta; Magnoliopsida; Fabales; Fabaceae
Exons: 6
Source: RefSeq, a predicted model, not a curated record